UGAGCAAUCUGCCCUUCUCUUUGGAAUAAGCGUUGGAAACGACGUCUAAUGCCGAAUACGACCUCCUUUCGCAUGAUCGGAGGUGGAAAGCUCCGGCGGAGAAGGAUGAGCUCGCGGCCUAUCAGCUAGUUGGUGUGGGUAAUGGCCCACCAAGGCGACGACGGGUAGCCGGCCUGGGAGGGUGACCGGCCACACUGGGACUGAGACACGGCUCAGACUCCGUACGGGAGGCAGCG
RNAcentral lists this ribosomal RNA (236 nucleotides) under uncultured bacterium. RNAcentral's name for it is "partial 16S ribosomal RNA". It matches the Rfam family "Bacterial small subunit ribosomal RNA", at positions 118 to 353 of the family's 1533-position model. The record is from RNAcentral.